ACCGGGCUCAGUGGCACAUGCCUGUAGUCCCAGCUACCCAGGAGGCUGAGAUGGGAGAAUCGCUGGAGCCCAGGAGUUCUGGGCUGUAUGUAGUGCACUAUGCCGAUCGGGUGUCCACACUAAGUUCAGCAUCAGUAUGGUGACCUCCCGGGAGCGGGGGACCACCAGGUUGCCUAAGGAGGGUGAACCAGCCCAGGUCGGAAAUGGAGCAGGUCAAAACUCCAUGCUGAUCAAUAGCGGGAUCGCACCUGUGAAUAGCCACUGCACUCCAGCCUGGGCAACGUAGGGAGACUCCAUCUCU
This 301-nucleotide signal recognition particle RNA is filed under the name Saimiri boliviensis boliviensis (Bolivian squirrel monkey). RNAcentral describes it as "Metazoan signal recognition particle RNA (ENSSBOG00000009080.1)". It matches the Rfam family "Metazoan signal recognition particle RNA". Rfam says of the family: The signal recognition particle (SRP) is a universally conserved ribonucleoprotein. It is involved in the co-translational targeting of proteins to membranes. The eukaryotic SRP consists of a 300-nucleotide 7S RNA and six proteins: SRPs 72, 68, 54, 19, 14, and 9. The record is from RNAcentral. Lineage: Eukaryota; Metazoa; Chordata; Mammalia; Primates; Cebidae.